Molecule: ribosomal RNA, 440 nt
Filed under: uncultured bacterium
Lineage: Bacteria
Description: partial 16S ribosomal RNA
Rfam family: Bacterial small subunit ribosomal RNA
Source: RNAcentral
CCUACGGGUGACAGCAGUGGGGAAUAUUGCACAAUGGGGGAAACCCUGAUGCAGCGACGCCGCGUGAGUGAAGAAGUAAUUAGUUAUGUAAAGCUCUAUCAGCAGGGAAGAAAAUGACGGUACCUGAGUAAGAAGCCCCGGCUAACUACGUGCCAGCAGCCGCGGUAAUACGUAGGGGGCAAGCGUUAUCCGGAUUUACUGGGUGUAAAGGGAGCGUAGACGGCAGGGCAAGUCUGAAGUGAAAGGCCGGGGCUCAACCCCCGGACUGCCGUGGAAACUGUUCGGCUGGAGAGCAGGCGAGGUAAGUGGAAUGCCUAGUGUAGCGGUGAAAUGCGUAGAGAUUAGGAGGAACACCAGUGGCGAAGGCGGCUUACUGGACUGUAACUGACGUUGAGGCUCGAAAGCGUGGGGAGCAAACAGGAUUAGAUACCCGAGUAGUC